This 332-nucleotide ribosomal RNA is filed under the name uncultured soil bacterium. RNAcentral describes it as "bacterial SSU rRNA". It matches the Rfam family "Bacterial small subunit ribosomal RNA", at positions 26 to 371 of the family's 1533-position model. The record is from RNAcentral.
AGAUUGAACGCUGGCGGCAUGCCUAACACAUGCAAGUCGAACGGGAGUAGCAAUACUCUAGUGGCGGACGGGUGAGGAAUACGUAGGAAUUUGCCCUUAAGUGGGGGAUAACCCGGGGAAACCCGGAUUAAUACCGCAUGACCUCGAAAGAGCAAAGUGGGGGAUCGCAAGACCUCACGCUUUUGGAGAAGCCUACGUCGGAUUAGCUAGUUGGUGAGGUAAUGGCUCACCAAGGCGACGAUCCGUAACUGGUCUGAGAGGAUGAUCAGUCACACCGGAACUGAGACACGGUCCGGACUCCUACGGGAGCAGCAGUGGGGAAUAUUGGACAA